AUUGAACGCUGGCGGCAGGCCUAACACAUGCAAGUCGAGCGAAGCGGGGACGGGUGAGUAACACGUGGAUAACCUCCUAUAAGACUGGGAUAACUUCGGGAAACCGGAUCUAGACCGGAUCCUUAUAGAUGGAUCCGCGCUGCAUUAGCUAGUUGGUAAGGUAACGGCUUACCAAGGCAACGAUGCAUAGCCGACCUGAGAGGGAGAUCAGCAACACGGGAACUGAGACACGGUACAGACUGCUACGGGAGGCAGCAGGGGGGAAUCUUACGCAAUGGGCGAAAGCCUGAUGGAGCAACGCAGCGUGAGUGAUGAAGGUCUUCGGAUCGUAAAACUCUGUGAGUAGGGAAGCGGUACCUAAGCAGAAAGCAACGGCUAACUACGUGCCAGCAGCCGCGGUAAUUC
Molecule: ribosomal RNA, 405 nt
Filed under: uncultured bacterium
Lineage: Bacteria
Description: partial 16S ribosomal RNA
Rfam family: Bacterial small subunit ribosomal RNA
Source: RNAcentral